This 446-nucleotide ribosomal RNA is filed under the name uncultured soil bacterium. RNAcentral's name for it is "bacterial SSU rRNA". It matches the Rfam family "Bacterial small subunit ribosomal RNA", at positions 26 to 518 of the family's 1533-position model. The record is from RNAcentral.
AGAACGAACGCUGGCGGCAUGCCUAAUACAUGCAAGUCGAACGAACUCUUCGGAGUUAGUGGCGCACGGGUGCGUAACGCGUGGGAAUCUGCCCCUUGGUUCGGAAUAACAGUUGGAAACGACUGCUAAUACCGGAUGAUGACGAAAGUCCAAAGAUUUAUCGCCAAGGGAUGAGCCCGCGUAGGAUUAGCUAGUUGGUGAGGUAAAGGCUCACCAAGGCAACGAUCCUUAGCUGGUCUGAGAGGAUGAUCAGCCACACUGGGACUGAGACACGGCCCAGACUCCUACGGGAGGCAGCAGUAGGGAAUAUUGGACAAUGGGCGAAAGCCUGAUCCAGCAAUGCCGCGUGAGUGAUGAAGGCCUUAGGGUUGUAAAGCUCUUUUACCCGAGAUGAUAAUGACAGUAUCGGAGAAUAAGCCCGGACUAACUCCGUGACCAGCAGCCGC